GUCCACCGAUUCGUUCGGGGCAGAUAGCUGAGUAACACGUGGUCAACCUGCCCUGUGGAUGAGGAUAACCUCGCUAACGUGAGGCUAAUACUCGAUAGCAGAUCUCUUCUGGAACGGGAAAUCUGUGAAAUGCUCCGGCGCCACAGGAUGGGACCGCGGCUGAUUAGGUCGUUGGUGAGGUAACGGCUCACCAAGCCGAUAAUCAGUAGUAGCCGUGAGAGCGGGAGCUACCAGUCGGCUUCUGAGACAAGAAGCCGGACCCUACGGGGUGCAGCAGGCACGAAACCUUCACAAUGCACGCAAGUGCGAUGGGGGGAUUCCGAGUGCGGUCUUCUCACAAAGAAGGCCGCUUUUCUGCAGCGUAAGGAACUACAGGAACAAGGGGUGGGCAACACUGCUGCCAGCCGCCGCGGU
RNAcentral lists this ribosomal RNA (414 nucleotides) under uncultured archaeon. RNAcentral's name for it is "bacterial SSU rRNA". It matches the Rfam family "Archaeal small subunit ribosomal RNA", at positions 57 to 471 of the family's 1478-position model. The record is from RNAcentral.